Molecule: ribosomal RNA, 424 nt
Filed under: uncultured bacterium
Lineage: Bacteria
Description: partial 16S ribosomal RNA
Rfam family: Bacterial small subunit ribosomal RNA
Source: RNAcentral
AAUUUUGGACAAUGGGGGAAACCCUGAUCCAGCCAUCCCGCGAGUAUGAUGAAGGCCUUCGGGUUGUAAAGGACUCUUUGCAGAGAAGAAAAGGUAUCUCCUAAUACGGGAUAUUGCCGACGUUAUCGUCAGAAUAAGCCCCGGCUAAUUACGUGCCAGCAGCCGCGGUAAUACGUAGGGCGCAGGCGUUAAUCGGAAUUACUGGGCGUAAAGCGUGUGUAGGCGGUUCGGAAAGAAAGAUGUGAAAUCCCAGGGCUCAACCUUGGAACUGCAUUUUUAACAGCCGAGCUAGAGUAUGUCAGAGGGGGGUAGAAUUCCACGUGUAGCAGUGAAAUGCGUAGAUAUGUGGAGGAAUACCGAUGGCGAAGGCAGCCCCCUGGGAUAAUACUGACGCUCAGACACGAAAGCGUGGGGAGCAAACAGG